CCAAACUGAAGUGAAGGUUAUUGGGAAAACACAUCACAAGAACCUAGUCCGCCUUCUUGGUUAUUGCAAUGAGGGGCCUAACAGGCUCUUGGUAUACGAGUACAUGAGAAAUGGGUCACUUGCUGAUGUAAUCUUCUCUCCUGAAAGCAGACCUUGUUUUGGAGAAAGAGUGGAGAUCGCCCGGAACAUAGCAAGGGGCAUCCUCUAUCUACAUGAAGAGUGUGAGGCACAGAUUAUCCACUGUGAUAUAAAACCAGGAAACAUACUACUGGAUGAGUACAGGUGUCCAAAAAUUUCUGACUUCGGAUUGGCAAAGCUGCUGAAGCCAGACCAAACAAAAACCUUUACAGGAAUCAGAGGAACUAGAGGUUAUGUUGCACCAGAAUGGCAUCAUAAUCUUCCUUUGACAGCUAAAGCAGACGUUUAUAGUUUUGGAGUUGUGUUAUUGGAGAUUGCAUGUUGUAGAAGGAAUGUGGAU
RNAcentral lists this unclassified non-coding RNA (478 nucleotides) under Hevea brasiliensis (rubber tree). Lineage: Eukaryota; Viridiplantae; Streptophyta; Magnoliopsida; Malpighiales; Euphorbiaceae. The record is from RNAcentral.